Molecule: ribosomal RNA, 468 nt
Filed under: uncultured bacterium
Lineage: Bacteria
Description: partial 16S ribosomal RNA
Rfam family: Bacterial small subunit ribosomal RNA
Source: RNAcentral
GACGAACGCUGGCGGCGUGCUUAACACAUGCAAGUCGAACGGAAAGGCCCUGCUUUUGUGGGGUGCUCGAGUGGCGAACGGGUGAGUAACACGUGAGUAACCUGCCCUUGACUUUGGGAUAACUUCAGGAAACUGGGGCUAAUACCGGAUAGGAGCUCCUGCUGCAUGGUGGGGGUUGGAAAGUUUCGGCGGUUGGGGAUGGACUCGCGGCUUAUCAGCUUGUUGGUGGGGUAGUGGCUUACCAAGGCUUUGACGGGUAGCCGGCCUGAGAGGGUGACCGGCCACAUUGGUACUGAGAUACGGCCCAGACUCCUACGUGAGGCAGCAGUGGGGAAUAUUGCACAAUGGGCGGAAGCCUGAUGCAGCAACGCCGCGUGCGGGAUGACGGCCUUCGGGUUGUAAACCGCUUUCGCCUGUGACGAAGCGUGAGUGACGGUAAUGGGUAAAGAAGCACCGGCUAACUACGUG